AGCGGACACAGCAAAAAUGGCGGGAAAGAAGUAAUGUCGAGGAUGAAUCGCACAAUAUUGGGAAUAGUACAGGAGAUACUAGGAAGGAAGGAAAGUAAUCAGAGAUACUGAAUUUCAAAGAUCAUGCUGCCACCGAGAAAUAAAGGGAUAUUAGCAUCGAUGCCUUACGGUAGCUGAGAGGAAUCUUAACCUCAGGCUGCCAAAUUGCUCACGCAAACCUGAUGGUUUCACUUUUGGGUGCACUUCUCUGUUUUAUGAAAGGCAGUCACUUUGCCGAUCUGAAUGCUAAUUAAUUUUUCUAUGUUUAAAGGUAUCUCUGUUAUUGCUUAUGAGAAGUUUUUUUCAGAUGCUGGAACUGCCACUUGCAAUAUCUUUAUGAUGCAUCUUGGAAUAGUUCUGGAUGGUUUCCAAUAGGCACCCAAUUUUUCUACAUGCUUUUCUUCAUCUUCUGACUCACCAGCUAAGUGUGAAAGGACAUUGUGAUUCCCAAACUAUUAUAAACGGGCUUAUUCCUGGAGCCUUUAGGAAAUUUCUAGGAGCUUCUUCUAGACAAAAGACUCACGAAUAGUGGCUUCUCUGCUAGCUCAGUGCAUCCAUGGCUAAGGGGAAAUGAAUUAACUGCCAAACAGCUUCCAUCAUUACAGAAGCAGCACUGAAAGCUGUGGACAGUAAUGGGACCUACAGUUGCCCUGAGUGAUCAGUUCAGCAGGGAGAAUUUGUGCUGCUUAAAAUUUCCAUCACAGGACUCUAGAUCCAACCUUGGACAGUCCACUUCAGAUUUUUGCUACCCAACCCACUGUCCUUGUAAAAGAAAAAGGUCCUUGGUUUCCUCACAGGUAACAACAACAA
Protobothrops mucrosquamatus (brown spotted pit viper) is the source of this 849-nucleotide long non-coding RNA. RefSeq lists it as uncharacterized. The record is from RefSeq and is a predicted model, not a curated record. The transcript is spliced from 3 exons. Lineage: Eukaryota; Metazoa; Chordata; Lepidosauria; Squamata; Viperidae.